GACGAACGCUGGCGGCGUGCUUAACACAUGCAAGUCGAACGGUGAAGGGACCGGUUUUUGCUGGUUCUGGAUGAGUGGCGAACGGGUGAGUAACACGUGAGUAACCUGCCCCCUUCUUCUGGAUAACCGCAUGAAAGUGUGGCUAAUACGGGAUAUUCUGCGCCUGCUGCAUGGUGGGUGUGGGAAAGAUAUUGUUUCGGUGGGGGAUGGGCUCGCGGCCUAUCAGCUUGUUGGUGGGGUGAUGGCCUACCAAGGCGGUGACGGGUAGCCGGCCUGAGAGGGUGGACGGUCACACUGGGACUGAGACACGGCCCAGACUCCUACGGGAGGCAGCAGUGGGGAAUAGUGCACAAUGGGCGCAAGCCUGAUGCAGCGACGCCGCGUGAGGGAUGGAGGCCUUCGGGUUGUAAACCUCUUUCGCCAGUGAAGCAGGCCUGUCCCUUGUGUGGGUGGGUUGACGGUAGCUGGAUAAGAAGCGCCGGCUAACUACGUG
Molecule: ribosomal RNA, 493 nt
Filed under: uncultured bacterium
Lineage: Bacteria
Description: partial 16S ribosomal RNA
Rfam family: Bacterial small subunit ribosomal RNA
Source: RNAcentral